AGGCAGCAGUGGGGAAUAUUGCACAAUGGGCGCAAGCCUGAUGCAGCGACGCCGCGUGCGGGAUGGAGGCCUUCGGGUUGUAAACCGCUUUUGUUCAAGGGCAAGGCACGGCUUCGGGCCGUGUUGAGUGGAUUGUUCGAAUAAGCACCGGCUAACUACGUGCC
Molecule: ribosomal RNA, 164 nt
Filed under: uncultured bacterium
Lineage: Bacteria
Description: partial 16S ribosomal RNA
Rfam family: Bacterial small subunit ribosomal RNA
Source: RNAcentral